CGGGGCGUAGCUCAGCCUGGUUAGAGUACUUGACUGGGGGUCAAGGGGUCGUGAGUUCGAAUCUCGCCGCCCCGACCG
RNAcentral lists this transfer RNA (78 nucleotides) under Myxococcales bacterium. RNAcentral describes it as "tRNA-Pro". It matches the Rfam family "tRNA". Rfam says of the family: Transfer RNA (tRNA) molecules are approximately 80 nucleotides in length. Their secondary structure includes four short double-helical elements and three loops (D, anti-codon, and T loops). The record is from RNAcentral. Lineage: Bacteria; Pseudomonadati; Myxococcota; Myxococcia; Myxococcales.